AACGCAUCUUGCGCUCCUUGGUAUUCCGAGGAGCAUGCCUGUUUGAGUGUCAUUUGACUUCUCUCAACCACAUCGAAAUUGAUGUGCGCUUGGAUGUGGGGGUUUGCAGGCUUUCUUUUCUAAUGAAAGCUGGCUCCCCUGAAAUGCAUUAGUGGUGAUCUGAGCUGCUAUUGGUGUGAUAAAUCUAUCUAUGCCUUUGGUAAUGCUGGUCAGCACCGCUUAUAACAACAAACAUUUGACAAAUUUGACCUCAAAUCAGGUAGGACUACCCGCUGAACUUAA
Molecule: unclassified non-coding RNA, 282 nt
Filed under: uncultured Inocybe
Lineage: Eukaryota; Fungi; Basidiomycota; Agaricomycetes; Agaricales; Cortinariaceae
Description: sequence contains ITS2
Rfam family: 5.8S ribosomal RNA (bases 1-52)
Source: RNAcentral